RNAcentral lists this signal recognition particle RNA (278 nucleotides) under Prolemur simus (greater bamboo lemur). RNAcentral's name for it is "Metazoan signal recognition particle RNA (ENSPSMG00000005168.1)". It matches the Rfam family "Metazoan signal recognition particle RNA". Rfam says of the family: The signal recognition particle (SRP) is a universally conserved ribonucleoprotein. It is involved in the co-translational targeting of proteins to membranes. The eukaryotic SRP consists of a 300-nucleotide 7S RNA and six proteins: SRPs 72, 68, 54, 19, 14, and 9. The record is from RNAcentral. Lineage: Eukaryota; Metazoa; Chordata; Mammalia; Primates; Lemuridae.
GCCAGGCAUAGUGGCACGUGCCUGUAAUCCAGCUAUUCAAGAGGCUGAGGCGGGAGGAGUUCUGGGGUGUAGUGUGCUGCGUCAAUCAGGUGUCCACACUAAGUCUGGCAUCGGUAGAGUGACCUCCAGGCAGUGGGGUACCACCAGGUUGCCUGAGGAGGGUGAACUGGCCCAGGUCAGAGAUGGAGCAGGUAAAAACGGUGAUGAUCAGUAGUGGACUUGUGUCUGUGAAUAGCCACUGUACCGCAGUCUUGGGAACAUAGCAAGACCCGGUCUCU